CAUGUGGAAGCAAAUCGAAACAAUGGUCCGCACUCAAGAGUGUUUCGGUUUCGCGGGUUUCGCUCUGGCGCAAGCAAGCAAUGUAUCGCAUCCUGCGUGGGUUUGAAAAGCUGGACGCCAUUGACGAUUUUUUCAGAGAAUCACACCUUUCGAAGGGCCAGUUACUAGUCAAUGUUUUCGGCGUCGACGAAGCAUCGGACGGUAACGAAAUCGUCGUUAAAGCGAAGUGAAUUUCGGAAUAAGUGAAGGACAGCCUGGUUUAUAACGUCCGGUUCGAGGUGUCCAAGUGCCCGUGAACAGUUUAUGUUGCGUCGUGUAUACCUGUAAAGCGGGAAUUGCGGGAAAAUGUAAGCACGCGGCAGCAGUGUGCUGCUACCUGAACAAGGAAGAAGACGCGACAUGUACGGGACAACCACAAAACAGGGGCAAGCCAAGCUCAAAGCCGCAAGCGUGACAUGACAAAGGGUAUCGCCGACUUAUUUCCGAGCACGUAUAUGUAUAAUGUGGACAGCGUGCUUUCCUUUAGACAGGAGCUUGGGUGCAGACCUUUCAUAUUGUAUAUUUUUAGAACUGAUGAGGCUACAGUCAUCUCUGCUGCAUCGUUGAUCAUUUGCCAAUGAUCUUUCUCUACUGAAUGCUGCUGCUGUACCCGGCUGCAUCGUUGAUCGUUGGCUAUUCUGUUAAUGGUAAUUCUUCACUCUUCAGCAUUUUAUAUGUUUCAUCAACCAGUAUUGUACCGUGUACCCAGUACGGUGCCUCAAAGCAAUGCUUUAUUGCUCUUGGUAAUAAACAGCUUGCAUCUGGA
Long non-coding RNA from Ornithodoros turicata, 805 nucleotides. RefSeq lists it as uncharacterized. Lineage: Eukaryota; Metazoa; Arthropoda; Arachnida; Ixodida; Argasidae. The transcript is spliced from 2 exons. The record is from RefSeq and is a predicted model, not a curated record.